RNAcentral lists this ribosomal RNA (497 nucleotides) under uncultured bacterium. RNAcentral's name for it is "partial 16S ribosomal RNA". It matches the Rfam family "Bacterial small subunit ribosomal RNA", at positions 28 to 507 of the family's 1533-position model. The record is from RNAcentral.
GAUGAACGCUGGCGGCGUGCCUAAUACAUGCAAGUCGAACGAACGGACGAGAAGCUUGCUUCUCUGAUGUUAGCGGCGGACGGGUGAGUAACACGUGGAUAACCUACCUAUAAGACUGGGAUAACUUCGGGAAACCGGAGCUAAUACCGGAUGAUAUUUUGAACCGCAUGGUUCAAAAGUGAAAGACGGUCUUGCUGUCACUUAUAGAUGGAUCCGCGCUGCAUUAGCUAGUUGGUAAGGUAAUGGCUUACCAAGGCAACGAUGCAUAGCCGACCUGAGAGGGUGAUCGGCCACACUGGAACUGAGACACGGUCCAGACUCCUACGGGAGGCAGCAGUAGGGAAUCUUCCGCAAUGGGCGAAAGCCUGACGGAGCAACGCCGCGUGAGUGAUGAAGGUCUUCGGAUCGUAAAACUCUGUUAUUAGGGAAGAACAUAUGUGUAAGUAACUGUGCACAUCUUGACGGUACCUAAUCAGAAAGCCACGGCUAACUACGUG